AGGGAAAAAAUGCAUUUUUAUUUCCGAUAUAGCAAGAACCCCUGAAACCGAGCAAAAGUUGCUCUCUGAAAACUUGACGAAAUUGGCAAACAAUCAGAAGAAAAUCCGGAGAAGAAAUUCCAAAUGGUUUCAGAUGGCGAGCUCGUGGAUCGCCUGCGAUCGUUCCUUCGGGCCUCCGAUCUCAACACGACGACCACCACCGGCGCCGUCCGCCGCCAGCUGGAGGCGGACUUCAAUGUCGAUCUCAGCGAGAAGAAGGCCUUCAUCAGGGAGCAGGUCGAUCUGUUCUUGAGCGAGCUCGAGAACGAGAAGAAGGAAGAAGAAGAGAAGGAGGAGGAGAAUGAUGAGGAGGAGAAUGGAGUGAAGGAAGAGGAGGAGGAGGAGGAAGAAGAAGACGAGGAAGAUGAGGAGGAGGAAGAGGAGAGGAGCAAUGGAGGGAGAAGCAGAAAGCGAAGUAGAUCUAACAAGGAGGUUAAGAAAAGGGGUGGAGGAGGAUUUGCCAAAGUAUGCAGUCUUUCCCCACAACUUCAGGAGUUCCUUGGUGAAACUGAGUUGGCUAGGACUGAGGUUGUGAAAAGAAUUUGGGCUUAUAUUCGUGAGAACAGUCUGCAAGACCCAAGCAAUAGGAGAAAAAUAUUAUGUGAUGAGAGAAUGCAUAAUCUAUUCAAUGUGAAAAGCAUUGACAUGUUUCAGAUGAAUAAAGCUCUUUCAAAGCAUAUUUGGCCAUUGGAUUCAGAAGAUGCAGGUACUAGCAAGUCAGCACAAAAGGAAAAGAAGCCAAAAAAAGAAAGAGAAGAUGAAUCUCCACCUAAAGAGAAGAAGCAAAAGGGAGGGAGAGGUUUUCUUGCACCGCUCCAACUUUCAGAUGCUCUAGUGAAGUUUAUUGGCACCGGUGAAAGUGAAUUACCACGGUCAGAUGUAGUGAAGAGAAUGUGGGAUUACAUCAAACAAAAUAAUCUGCAGGAUCCUGCUGAUAAGAAGACUGUCAUAUGUGAUGAGAAGCUGAAAGAGUUGUUCCAGGUCGAUUCCUUCACCGGAUUCACUGUUCCAAAGUUGCUCACAGCUCAUUUUAUCAAAACAAAAUAGUAUACGGUGAUCCUGCUGGUAUUCCCACAACCCAAGGAAACGGGCAAUUUUGUUUGCAAGUAUUCUCCUCCUGUUCUGCAUUAGAUUCCUGGAGGAAGGGGUAUUAGUGGGAAAAGAGAGUACAUUGAUCUCCUUACUAUUGUUAGAUUUCUGAAGGAGAUUAAUGGGAAAAAGAGAGAGUAAGUGAAGAAAGAAGAGAAAACUUGAAGGAUAGUGAAGAUCAAUCAAUCAAGAAUCAAAUCUUUUGGGCUUCGUUUGGAUACCAUGGUGUUUCUUUGUUGUGUUUUUGUAAGAAACCACUAUGGUGUUGUGAUUUCUACCUAAAGUGUUUUCAAAACACCAUGUUGAGUGUUUGUA
RNA transcript from Asparagus officinalis (garden asparagus), 1443 nucleotides. It is a transcript of the gene named upstream activation factor subunit spp27-like, with no coding region annotated. The record is from RefSeq and is a predicted model, not a curated record. The transcript has 7 exons. NCBI's taxonomy places the organism in Eukaryota, Viridiplantae, Streptophyta, Magnoliopsida, Asparagales, Asparagaceae.